Long non-coding RNA from Ananas comosus (pineapple), 2209 nucleotides. RefSeq lists it as uncharacterized. The record is from RefSeq and is a predicted model, not a curated record. The transcript has 8 exons. Lineage: Eukaryota; Viridiplantae; Streptophyta; Magnoliopsida; Poales; Bromeliaceae.
UUUUCCGUCGCACGUGUGUCAGACGAAAGGCGGCAGUAGGGGAUAGCGGGGCCGCCCUAUAAAUACGUCAAUACCGCUCGGGCGGCUCGGUUCUUCUCCUUCUCCACUCCAAUCCAUGGAGAACGACGACGCCAUGAGAGGUCCACCGAGCUUCGUCAUAGGAUCGAUCGCGAACGGAGGGGUUUCUUUGAUGCACAUUGUCUCUCCGGCUCUCUGUCCGUUAGAGUUGCGUCCGUUGUCUCAUUAACAACGAUAUUUCGCUCUGUUUUCGAAUGAUUUGAUCGCCCAGAAUCGCUGGCAAUGGUUCGUUUUGGUCCGAUCUGGCGUUUAUGUAAUGUGCAUCGUCUCUCAUCUAUUGGAAUUGGGUGUUUGGAUCCAUCUCUCAUCGAACAAUGAUGCUUCUCUCACUUCUAUCUCGAUCCGAUGUUCUGAUCACCAAGAAUCGCCGGUAGUGGUUCGUUUUGCCAAUCUGACAGGCAUGUGGUGUUACUAUCUGAACAUGAUCAUUAGUUUCUUGACAUUAUCUUAUGUCUCACUUACAGUUUUUUUGUUUUCUUCUGAGUUACUGUAAAGGUUGCCUCCGGAUGCAACUAAUGAGAUAUUCCACAACCAAUGUGACAGGUUGCCUCCGGAUGCAACUAAUGGGACAUUAAAUUGGUAAUGUCGAUGCUAACUCUGUGAUUCUUGGAAAGAUAAUGAGAUAACUGAUUUAGAAUGCAUUAGAAAGUAUCAUUAGGAAGGAACGUGCCUUUCAGUUUGUUGUGCCUGAGAACUGUUGUUUUGGUCGCCAUCAACAGAUUUGAAAAAGGUUGUUUUCUGUCCGAGUUCAGCAAACAUUGUUGAGACACGGUUCAUUGCAGUUGACUUUUACCUAGCAAUGAUAGAAGGAGAACCUCAAGUUUGUUUUCAGCUACAGCAUGGCAGUUCAACUUCAGUGCACGGUUCUCUGCCAUUAUACCCAAUGAACUAAAUAAUGAGGACCACAUCAUCAGGAAUGUAGGCAAAGCACAUGGAUGACAGGAUAAUAUUUAUCAUAAGUAUGAAAAGCACGAAGCUACAAAGGUACUUUAUUGUAGGGUACCUUGAACCAUUUAAAACUUGGGGAAGUUUGGGUUUGGAAAUAAAAUCUAUGGGAAUUACCUCUUUGUCUCUUAAAUAUCCCACUGUUGGGAAUAAGCGAGAAUAUAGCAAAAAUUGUGUUUGGUUUAAAAUCCUUCACUCUGUGCAACAAGAAUUGUGCUUUCCCUACAGCUUAAUGACAGUAUUGCAGAGUUCAGAGGAUUUCCCACUUUGCAAUUGAACAAAGACCAGACCAAUUAUAUUGGCGGUGGAGUCCAAAUGGCGUCUUCUCGGUAAAUUCGACCUAUUUAGCAUUGUCUGACGGGGGAACAAGGGACCCACUUGUUAGUAAAAUUUGGAGACUUCAUAUCCCACUUAAAGUUAAAGUGUUUUGUUAGCUCGUUCUUAAGAAGAAGCUUCCUACAACCGACUUACUUGCGAAGCGCGGAUGGGUGGGAAAUGCUGAUUGUGUGCUUUGCGGCUCGGAAGAGAAAUCAGUGGAUCAUCUAUUCACUAGGUGCGUCUUUACUAAGUUCACUAUCGUGAUGGGUGUGGACGGCGUUCAGGCGAGAGACCUGGGAAGCGAUGCUAUUCUAGCCUGGGCCUCUUGGAUGGCCAAGAAAGGACGCCAUAAGACGAGAAGCAACCUAUCCGAAUUAGUAGGAUGCUGGUGGUCCAUUUGGAAGGCUAGAAAAGACUCAAUCUUUAGAAGUAUACACUCGAACCCUUUGCUUGUAACAUACAAGCUUAAGCAGCUGCCGAAGGAGUUGGAUUAUCUUAUUCCAGUAAGGCAAACUUCUUUGUCCUUUUAACCCUACUCUUGUAACAUACCCUUCUUCUUCUUCUUUUUCCGAGUCCCUGGUUGCCUCACUCCUGUAGCCUAGUUCAUACUCCUUAUGAAUGAAGCGGGUAGCAUGCUACCUUUUUCUCAAAAAAAAAAAGAAUUGUGCUUUGUUGUCAACCAUGGUUAUAGUGUUAAAUGUUUGGGAGCCUUUUCUAGGUGAAGGAUGUAUUAAUAAAUAAAACUGAGGAUUCAGUUUCAGUUGUUUAUUUAUUGUUGAGUUGAAGAGUUGUAAAUGACAGCGCGAGGGGUGAAACAUAUUUUGAUUUAAAUAUAGUAAAUGAUGAACAACUAAGAUUGAAUCUUUAA